GGAACCGAUUAAUCUUCGGAUUUCCUCAAUUAUUUUUCAAAGCUGCUAAAUCUGCUCUUUAAUAAACUUUGCUAAAGGGAAAAAAUAGGUUACUCUCCAUGGGUCACAUUAUUGGGUUAUUUUUGGUAAUAAAUCAGUCGACUCGUUCAGGAAGUAUCAUCGAAUGUUUUUGUUCACGUAGGACCGACUUUAAACGUAAAAUGGUGCAAAUUUACCAGACCGUACCGCUGAAGCAUGUGAAAUCCGAUGUUAUUGGCAGUGGUGAGAUCUUGGGCGUCCCUUUCUUCCACAGGAAAGGAGAAGCUGUUCUCGAUAUGAUUGGAGUGAAGCAAAAGUUCACUAUCCAGAUGCAACCAAACGGACAACUUAAGGUGAAUUUGGCCAUUCUUAGUUUCAACGAUAUGGCUUGGCAUCUCGAGGUCUCCUUCACGACGAAUUCGUAG
RNAcentral lists this long non-coding RNA (443 nucleotides) under Bemisia tabaci. RNAcentral describes it as "lncRNA ENSSSA3NGG011119". The record is from RNAcentral. Lineage: Eukaryota; Metazoa; Arthropoda; Insecta; Hemiptera; Aleyrodidae.